Molecule: unclassified non-coding RNA, 359 nt
Filed under: uncultured fungus
Lineage: Eukaryota; Fungi
Description: sequence contains ITS1
Source: RNAcentral
UUCUUUUACUUUUUUCGUUUAGCCUACUCGCUCGUCGCUUCUUCCUUGGGUUGGGCUGCGCGGCUUGCUCGCUGACCUCCCCCGGGGUGGGUUAAUCCCCCGGGGAAGCAACAGUGGUGGUGUACGCAGGGGGGUGUGGGCAUUUGGAAACUGGCCACCCGGGGGCGGAGGGACGGGCGGGGCGCUCCGGCCGCGUCGGGCGUUAGCCGAGGCGGGGGCUUCAACCUCUCUCCCUUGGGUCUACGGCCCCAGCCUGUCCCGGGGGCACAAUCGAGUCGGGCUACCCCACGCCUUCCUGCGUUUCCUGCUCCUCGUGUUGGUCUUUGGUAAUGAUCCUUCCGCAGGUUCACCUACGGAAA